GAUGAACGCUGGCGGCGUGCCUAAUACAUGCAAGUCGAGCGAACAGACGAGGAGCUUGUGCCUCUGACGUUAGCGGCGGACGGGUGAGUAACACGUGGAUAACCUUCCUCUAAUACUGGGAUAACAUCGUGAAACAGGUGCUACUACCGGAUAAUAUAUUCAACCGCAUGAAGCAAUAGUUAAAGGCACUUUUGCCGAUUCAUUUAGCUGGUGCCGCGUCGCAUUAGUUAGUUGGUAAGGUAACGGCUUACCAAGGCUACGAAGCGUAGCUGACAUGAGAGGGUGAUCAGCCACACUGGAACUGAGACACGGUCCAGACUCCUACGGGAGGCAGCAGUGGGGAAUCUUGGGCAAUGGGCGAAAGCCUGACGGAGCAACACCGCGUGAGUGAAGAAGGUCUUCGGGUCGUAAAGCUCUUUUGUUGGGAAAGAACAAAUGUAUAAUAAAAUCUGCACGUCUUGACGGUACCUAAACAGAAAGCAACGGCUAACUACGUG
RNAcentral lists this ribosomal RNA (497 nucleotides) under uncultured bacterium. Its description in RNAcentral is "partial 16S ribosomal RNA". It matches the Rfam family "Bacterial small subunit ribosomal RNA", at positions 28 to 507 of the family's 1533-position model. The record is from RNAcentral.